GAACUCAGCACCAAAUAACUCCAGGAGAAGCUGCAGUGGGACCCGGAGGCGAAGCAUAUGGAGGUGGAGGACGUGACCCUCAACCGUCGUGCCUGCAGCUUCCGAGUCCUGGUGGUGUCGGCCAAGUUUGAGGGGAAGCUGCUGCUUCAGACACACUGGCGGGUAAAUAUGUGGCUAGCUGGAGGCUCUCGCACAUCCAUGCUUUUGAGCAGAAAACCCUCAUCCCAGAGCAGUGGGCUUGUGAACGGCA
Molecule: long non-coding RNA, 250 nt
Filed under: Homo sapiens (human)
Lineage: Eukaryota; Metazoa; Chordata; Mammalia; Primates; Hominidae
Description: non-protein coding lnc-PTPN23-6:2
Source: RNAcentral